This 1381-nucleotide ribosomal RNA is filed under the name Glutamicibacter arilaitensis. Its description in RNAcentral is "bacterial SSU rRNA". It matches the Rfam family "Bacterial small subunit ribosomal RNA". The record is from RNAcentral. Lineage: Bacteria; Bacillati; Actinomycetota; Actinomycetes; Micrococcales; Micrococcaceae.
AGCGAUGAAGCCCAGCUUGCUGGGUGGAUUAGUGGCGAACGGGUGAGUAACGCGUGAGUAACCUGCCCCCGACUCUGGGAUAAGCCCGGGAAACUGGGUCUAAUACCGGAUAUUACCUUUGACCGCAUGGUUGUUGGUGGAAAGAUUUAUCGGUGGGGGAUGGACUCGCGGCCUAUCAGCUUGUUGGUGAGGUAAUGGCUCACCAAGGCGACGACGGGUAGCCGGCCUGAGAGGGUGACCGGCCACACUGGGACUGAGACACGGCCCAGACUCCUACGGGAGGCAGCAGUGGGGAAUAUUGCACAAUGGGCGAAAGCCUGAUGCAGCGACGCCGCGUGAGGGAUGACGGCCUUCGGGUUGUAAACCUCUUUCAGUAGGGAAGAAGCGAAAGUGACGGUACCUGCAGAAGAAGCGCCGGCUAACUACGUGCCAGCAGCCGCGGUAAUACGUAGGGCGCAAGCGUUAUCCGGAUUUAUUGGGCGUAAAGAGCUCGUAGGCGGUUUGUCGCGUCUGCCGUGAAAGUCCGAGGCUCAACCUCGGAUCUGCGGUGGGUACGGGCAGACUAGAGUGAUGUAGGGGAGACUGGAAUUCCUGAAUGUAGCGGUGAAAUGCGCAGAUAUCAGGAGGAACACCGAUGGCGAAGGCAGGUCUCUGGGCAUUUACUGACGCUGAGGAGCGAAAGCAUGGGGAGCGAACAGGAUUAGAUACCCUGGUAGUCCAUGCCGUAAACGUUGGGCACUAGGUGUGGGGGACAUUCCACGUUUUCCGCGCCGUAGCUAACGCAUUAAGUGCCCCGCCUGGGGAGUACGGCCGCAAGGCUAAAACUCAAAGGAAUUGACGGGGGCCCGCACAAGCGGCGGAGCAUGCGGAUUAAUUCGAUGCAACGCGAAGAACCUUACCAAGGCUUGACAUGUGCCAGACCGCCUCAGAGAUGGGGUUUCCCUUCGGGGCUGGUUCACAGGUGGUGCAUGGUUGUCGUCAGCUCGUGUCGUGAGAUGUUGGGUUAAGUCCCGCAACGAGCGCAACCCUCGUUCCAUGUUGCCAGCACGUAGUGGUGGGGACUCAUGGGAGACUGCCGGGGUCAACUCGGAGGAAGGUGGGGAUGACGUCAAAUCAUCAUGCCCCUUAUGUCUUGGGCUUCACGCAUGCUACAAUGGCCGGUACAAUGGGUUGCGAUACUGUGAGGUGGAGCUAAUCCCUAAAAGCCGGUCUCAGUUCGGAUUGGGGUCUGCAACUCGACCCCAUGAAGUCGGAGUCGGUAGUAAUCGCAGAUCAGCAACGCUGCGGUGAAUACGUUCCCGGGCCUUGUACACACCGCCCGUCAAGUCACGAAAGUUGGUAACACCCGAAGCCGAUGGCCUAACCACCUUGUGUGGGGGGA